This 253-nucleotide ribosomal RNA is filed under the name uncultured bacterium. Its description in RNAcentral is "partial 16S ribosomal RNA". It matches the Rfam family "Bacterial small subunit ribosomal RNA", at positions 524 to 776 of the family's 1533-position model. The record is from RNAcentral.
UACGUAGGGUGCAAACGUUACUCGGAAUUAUUGGGCGUAAAGCGCACGUAGGCGGCUUUGAAAGUCGGAUGUGAAAUCCCACGGCUCAACCAUGGAACUGCUUUCGAAACUGCAAAGCUUGAGUACAAAAGAGGAUCGCGGAAUUCCCGGUGUAGAGGUGAAAUUCGUAGAUAUCGGGAGGAACACCAGUGGCGAAGGCGGCGAUCUGGGUUGAUACUGACGCUGAGGUGCGAAAGCGUGGGGAGCAAACAGG